Molecule: long non-coding RNA, 2005 nt
Organism: Eriocheir sinensis (Chinese mitten crab)
Lineage: Eukaryota; Metazoa; Arthropoda; Malacostraca; Decapoda; Varunidae
Exons: 2
Source: RefSeq, a predicted model, not a curated record
GGAAGGCCGUGGUGAGCAAAUCAGGGAAGUAAAGUAACGGAACAGGCCGAGGCAGCAAUACUAUAAUAUAGUCGCCAAGUCAGUCAGUUCGGGGCCUCGCCAUUCGCGCCAAUCCCGGGCUGAAUCUUGGCGGUUCAGUCUCCUUCCUUCGCCCUGUCAACUUCCCACUUUCGUCACAUCACUUUCCUUCCUUCCCUCGUUCCUUCCUUCCUUCCUUCCUUCCCUCGUUGUUGCUUUCCUUCCUUCCUUCCCUCGUUCCUUCCUUCGUCCUGUCAUCUUUCUCCAUCCUCCCUUCCUCCUGUCACCUUCCCCCCUUUAUUCCUCCCUUCCUCUGUCACCUUCCUUUGGCCUUCGUCCUGCCAUCCUUGAUCCAACAAAAACGGUCUCCGGCGCCUUCACUGUAUUUUCGAUUGAUUUGAAUUAAUCCCGUCUGGAAUUUUAAGAGGCUCAUCUUGCUAUCCACCCUCCUCGCCUCGCGGGGCUGGGGAGCGUCAGGGGGCCCAAGGCCUUCCUGGCGAGCGUCGCAGGGCUCAGGGCUCCGGCAAGGCGCCUCGGCUCCCCCGGAGCGUCCACGGAGGUGUCGGAGAUCCCGAGGGUCCGGGGGUUGGGGGGGCGUGAAGUGGCAGCAAGACAUGCAGUUACUGACCUCUUAUUAGCCAGACGACGCGUUAAUGACACGUUCCAAUGGAAUGUUCGACGCAUGGGGAGGUACAAUUCCCCUAAGCAAGGCAAGUGUCAUGCCAACUACGAUAAAAAAUGAAAAAUACAAAAAAAAUACAAAAACAAAAAAUCCAAAAAAAAUUGUCUUGUUUUGCUUUGUUUAAAGCGUCUUGUAUGUUGGUAUGGCGGGUCUUCUCUGGGGAGAAGGAGACUAACGCGUUCCAACAUACAAAACCAGGAAAAGACGACAUGGAAACACCGAGAGAAGGAAGGGAAAGAAGGGAACACCAGAAGAAGGAAAAUGAAGAGAAGUAACACUAAAAGAAGGCAUAUGAAGUAACACAAGAAGAAGGAAGUUGAAAAGAGUAACACAAGAAAAAGGAAUUUGAAAAGAGUUACACAAGAAGAAGGUAUUGAAAAGAGUUACACAGAAGAAGGUAUUGAAAAGAGUAACACAGAAGAAGGUAUUGAAAAGAGUAACACAGAAGAAGGUAUUGAAAAGAGUAACACAGAAGAAGGUAUUGAAAAGAGUUACACAGAAGAAGGUAUUGAAAAGAGUAACACAGAAGAAGGUAUUGAAAAGAGUUACACAGAAGAAGGUAUUGAAAAGAGUUACACAGAAGAAGGUAUUGAAAAGAGUUACAAAGAAGAAGGUAUUGAAAAGAGCAACACAGAAGAAGGUAUUGAAAAGAGUAACACAGAAGAAGGUAUUGAAAAGAGUUACAAAGAAGAAGGUAUUGAAAAGAGUUACACAGAAGAAGGUAUUGAAAAGAGUUACACAGAAGAAGGUAUUGAAAAGAGUAACAGAAGAAGAAGAAAUUUGAAGAGAAAUAACACAAGAAGAAGAAAUGUGAAGUAACACCGGAAGGAAAAUGCAGAGAAGUAACACUAGAAAAAUGAAAAUGGAAAUGAAAAGAAUCAUCCACCUUUCGGCCCAAACCAACAUCACAAAAUUAUGGGCGAGUCUCUUCUGGGAGGAAAGCGGCUCGUUCAGACCCAGGAACACCAGAAAGGAUGAUAGAAACAUCAAGAAAAAGGAAAACAAAAAAGUCAUCCACCUUUCGGCCCCUGGGGACGCAGGGUGGGUGACGGGUGAAUCUCCUCUGGGGAGAAGGAGGCUAACCCACACAGUCAAGAUAGAGGAUAGACAAAGGAAAUUAUAUCAUCGAGAAAAGAAAAUGAAAUUACAAUAUCAAGAAAAUAACUAAAAAGUCAUCGAGCUUUCGGCCCCUGGGGCCGCAGGGCGGGUGACGGGUGAGUCUUCUGGGGAGGAGGAGGCUCAUCCACAGCCAGCAACACCAACAGAAAGAAAAGAAAAGAAACAUCAUGAGAAAAGAAAAGAAAA